RNAcentral lists this long non-coding RNA (6432 nucleotides) under Salvia miltiorrhiza (redroot sage). RNAcentral describes it as "long non-coding RNA (SMIL_LNC004915)". Lineage: Eukaryota; Viridiplantae; Streptophyta; Magnoliopsida; Lamiales; Lamiaceae. The record is from RNAcentral.
CCAUAUAUAAAAAAACACAAACUGAUUACACACAAUAUGAAAACAAAGUUAAAACUAUGCAGAACUCACAAAUAUUACAAUCCUUGAACAAGGGACAAAUGUUUUCACACAAAUCCAACUUACAACAAUUUUGAUUACAAACAAAAUUCAGCACUCAGGUUUCACAAUCCUUGAAUUCAUACGACAAUGUGGCAAUACAACAAUCGAAACUAUGGGAUAACGCGGCGUCUGACCCCUUCGAUCAGCUCUCUCAUUUGCCUGAAAAUCGGUAGAUGGACAAUCUCAAACAUUGUGACUAUAAUAGGAACAUUAAAAUGUGAUAUUGCAAAGAUAUUAGGUAGACCUAUGCAAAUCCUUGUGAUAAUCUAAAUAAUUUAGAAUCGAUCAAACUGCUUGAUAAAAAUAAUGCAAACUCUCAACUUUGAGGGAACAGCCUGUGACUUAAAAUACAAUUUUAAUGUACCAAAUUAAAUAAACAAAUCUUGAUUUCUGCAACUCAUUAAAAUCAAGAGCACAUCAUAUGAGUUAGUAACAUCUACACAAAUGCUUAUGCAGAGCGGAAAAGAGGAACCAAAUUUUACGAGCACGAUAUUAAAUACGAGUUUGGAAAGGCAAUGUAAUUAAUAAAUAUUUUUUAUAGUAUUUUGAUUCGAAUAUUUUGUGAAGCAAUAAUUCUUAAAUUAAAAAAUCCAACGCAGAGAGCAGCUAGAGACUCACCUGCGGCAGCUGGGGAAGCAACUCUCGAUUCAGAAGCAACAUAAGCUAGCCUCAACUGCAAAACGACGACGUACCCUUCACUUGUAAAACAUGUUUUCACACUAAUCCUUCAACAAGGGACUAAUGUUUUCACACUAAUCCAACUUUCAAACAAUUUUGGUUACAAACAAAAUCCUUCCAUCGGCUCUUUCAUUUGCCUGAAAAUCGAUAGAUGGACAAUCUCAAACACUGUGACUAUAACAGAAACAUUAAGACGUAAUAUUGCAAAGUAGUAAGACUAACCUGUUAGGCAAGUUGCAGACUCACUUGACCUCAAAAAGAAGAUUCGAUGACAAGUUGAAAGGAAAACUUGUCUUUUAAUUCAUUGGCACAAGCGACAACUAAAGGAUUGCACUCGACUAAAUUAAUGAUCUCUAUCCAAGAGUGGUCAUACGGCCAAUCGAGCUGUUGUAAUUUGUAGCAAUGCUGCAUGCUUAGUCUACGAAGCUCCGGGAAGCUUCCACGUUGAGGUCUCCAUCGCACCAAAUCGGUGUCUUAAAUUCGAAGUUCAAUAAGUUUCAAAAAACUCCCUGGUGUUAUGUCCCACUCUGGGCCUCGAAAUGCAUAGUCGAGUAAUAUGAGAAUCUCGAGAUUUGGCAGCAGCGAACCAAUGUCAUUCAUGUAAUUCCAAGGAUACCCCCCUAACCCAGACAACAUUAACACCUUGAGAUUUGAUGGAAACAUUGAAAGAGGAAUCGUAUUACACUCAUUCUUUAUCUCGGGAUUGUUAACCCAAUAUUCAAGUCUCUCCAAAUUCUGGAGUUGGGAGAUAUAACCCAAGCAACUCGAUGGGUUUCUUUCAUCAUCAUCAUCAUAAGGCUUCAACUCCACUUCAAUAAUUAAUUUCUUUAAAUUAGGAAUUCUUUUGAGAACUUCCCUUGUACAACUCUUUGCACUCACACCAAUAAGUGAGGUGAGUUUGUGCAAGGUAGCAUCAUCAGUAUUAGGGGUUGGUAGGUCGCUUCCCCAAAUCUGAAUCCCCUCUAGUUGUUGCAGGUUCCAAAUUUGCACAGGCAUAUAAGACUGAACUCCACGCUUUUUAAUGUAAAUAUGUGGAUCGGUAAUCAAGAAUUGAAGAUUAAAAAGGUUGGAUAUGGAAUGAGGGAGCUCCCCGUUGUAUUUUAGGGAAAGGUACCGCAGACAAACAAGUUUUAAAAUUUCAAUUGGGAUAUGGUAAAAUCGAACUCUAAGAGCACAUAGUACUCUAAGCAACUUGAAACCCAUGGCAUGUAUUGGGAUUGGAUAUGGGUGAUAAGGACCAUGACAAAGGAGAGAACGGGCAGUGGAUGCACAAUCACUUUUUAUCGAAUCAUACACUUGUUUGAAGCAGAAUAAACUAUUCCAAUGGGCACACAAGCGACGCUGGUCUUUUAUUACAUCAUCACAACCUCGUAAGACAUGUAGAAACUUGAUCCUACUAGCUUCUACCUUACAUAAGUGCUGCCAACAAGAAUGCACGCGAUACGCUCUAUUUGAAAUACCACAAAUUUUCUGUGUCGAGAACAAGAUGAUACGACUUAGAAAGCUUUUCCAAGAAACCUUCAAAACUUUUUUCAACAUUCAGUUCAAGAAAGCCCUCAGCACUCAAAAGAUAAUUAAUAUCGAAUGGUCUCUGAUCAGCAUAAGGAGGGAAAGCUCCCAUAUAGAGGAAAAACAUUUUUAAAUGUUGGGGUAAGUAGUCAUAGCUUGGGAAAAGUACCUCUGAUAUUUGAUUAUAUGCAUCCUCGAAAAGUGAGUUUUGUUGUUUGUAGGCUACCUCAGUCCAAUAUUCUGGGGUCUUGUCGGCUUUUGAUAGGAGCUCUGCAACUGUGACUAUCAUAAGCGGAAGACCUUCACAUUUCUCAGCAAUCUUCUCUCCCAGUUCCUUAAGUUGAGGAGGGAAACCGUCUUCACUAAACACCUUCUCACCAAACACCUUCUCACCAAGUAGUUUCUUACUAUCUUCUUCAUUCAACAAGCUCAAUAUCAUGCCCCCAUGCUGCUUGUAUGUUAUACGUUGUCUACUUGUAAGUAAGAACUGAAUCCCUCCAAGAGUAUUCUUUUCUCGCAAGCAAUUUGUCAAGCGAUUUGUUGCUUGUACCCCCCAAACAUCAUCCAACACGAUGAGGCAUUUCUUAUCCUGCAAUUUUUCUUUCAAUAGUCCAACUAAUUCCUCAUCAUCAUCUUCUCCUUGGGCAAGCAUUCGGUAAGCGUUGGGAUCCACUUGAGCUAGAACGCAACGUAAUAGUUCAUUGGGUUCGCAUUUUCUACCCACUUUGACCCAUGCUCGAAAGUCAAAAUGGCUCCGAAUUGAUGGAUCUUCAAAAAUAUGUUUAGCAAGAGUUGUCUUUCCAACUCCCGCCAUCCCAACGAGCGAACAAUGUUUAUCUUGAAGAAGAUUAUCUCUGGCUUUUUCAAGUUCAUAAGAUAAUCCAACUAUCUUUGAAUUGAUCAUUCCACCAAAAUCAAUUCUUGAGGAAAUAGGCUCGCCCUCUUCCUCUGGCAUAUUCAACUUUUCAAUGAUGUACUCUAUCUCCAUCAUCUUCACCAUCUCGAUGAAGCAAUCAACAUGGUGUUGCAGACUCUGCAGAUCUACAGAGAAUGACAAGUUGUGUCUCUCGCUUUCGAGUUGUUGAAGAAUCUGAGGUAAGAUAUGGGAUUCGAGUAAAUCUUCGAAUUCCCAAACUGCCUCUUUGAUGAGUUCAUCCGCAGCAUUCACCUUCGUCCUGAUCUUGCUGCAGCUGGUGUCAUCCAAUUUGAGCAGAAUUCUCUGCAAGUGAUCCAUCUGGUCGUAGGCAGGUUGUAAGAUUUGUGGAGAGUGGGAAACGAGAGAAAUGCGAGACGAUUGUAGAAUACGCUGAAUCGUAUUCUUGAGAGAAGCCGCCGCACCAUAAGCCGCCAUACCCAAAUUAUCAGCUGAAUCGAUUCAUAUUCAGUCGCCUAACAAAGAAUUGGAGAAGAAGAAGGAAUUAUAAUAAGCAAAUAGAGAUGAAACAAAUGAUAGAUCUCAGCUCUCUGCUUACCUCUUGGAGGAGUUGGCGCAAGUCAACGGUGGCAGCAGCUGGUUUUGAUACAAAUUCAGAAACAUUCAAUACCACAUUCAAGAACUUUAGUAAAUGAUUUGAAAAGAUGUGUAUAAUGUAAUGCUAAAUGCUAAAGUAAUAAAUUAAAGUUUGAAUAUAAAUUUAAUUCAAAAUCAUUAUUUAUGGGAUAUGAGAAAACUAAUGUUGGAAUGGGCAAAUGGGAUCAAAAGCCAACAGCUCUCAAUACCAGAUCUCGAUGCAAAGCAUGUGGGAAUAGUGAUGGCGUUUCAGACGAUGUUGAGUGUAAUCCAAAUACUCAACAGGGAUUUCAUGUAUUUUAAAUAUGAAGCCAUAAAUUAAUUAGUAUAUUGCCAUAAUCUUAAAAUUUUAAGAUAUAUAUAUAUAUAAAAAAAACACAUAAACUGUUUUCACACAAAUCCAACUUACAACAAUUUUGGUUACAAACACAAUUCAGCACUCAGGUUUCACAAUUUAUGUAAUUUGUGAAUUUAAUAAACUCUGAUCACAAUUUAUGAGUUAUAAAAAAAUAUAUAAAAAAGGAAAAUUGCUAACAUGGACUACACAUUAGCGGUGUUUAUCAUAGGUGCUCAUAAAUUGUGUGCAGUAUAUUGAUCCUCGUAUUUAUAAUAUCCUUAUUUUAAAUUUUUCUAGAUAGUUUUAUAAAUUUAAAAUAACAAGGAAAUAGUUAAGAGUUAUCAUAAUUAAAACAAUAAAAACUAAAAUUAGCAUAGUCGAAAUGAUAAUUAUUAAAAAAAUAUAGGAAACAGAAUAUUAAUCAAUUUUCCUUUUUUUCUAUAUUUUUUUAUAGCCUUCUGAAAACAUAAGAUUAAGUUGACAUUUGAUCUAAUGUUUAUGUGACGAUGUGUCCUUAAAUGUUUUAAAUUGUCAAUUAGUUCUAGAUCAUGACAUUGUUUAAUAUAUUUUGUGAUUACACAAUCAGACUAAUUAAAAGAAUCAUUAAAAAAAAUUCUCAUACCUACUCCAUUGACAUAAUUUUUUUUUGAAGAGACUCCAUUGACAUAAUUAGUAGGUCUAUUUCAUGCUAUAUAUGAAGGAGUCCACGUGUAAUUUAUUAAUGUUGGAUUUAUCAUAUUUUAAUGUGGUCAUGCUUUUUGUGAUUCAUCAUACAAGUACUCCAUUGGCAAAUUAUUCGUAGUGUUUGCAACACAGUUUUUAACUCAGGGUUUUUUAUUUUUUUAUUGAAGGCUCGAAAGAUCAUGAUUAGUUAUGUGGCAAUUAAACUAAUUAAAGAAAUAAAGAACUACUUAAUCUAAUUAUGAAAAAAGAACUUAUUAAAAAUAAUUAAAAUCCAAAAUUAAGGGGUCGAAAUUUAUGAAUUAUUUAGCCUUCUCUUAUUUCUAAUCAUUUAAAUCCAAAUUGAAAUUGAUAGUAAUUUUAUUUCUUACUCGAAAGUGCCAUGGAUUUUGAAUGUCUUCUAAAGAAAUCUAUAUAUAUAUAAAAGCUCAUCCAACUUCACAAUUUUUUUCCCGNAAAAUAUCACUUUUUCAUAUAACAUACGUGUCAAGUUGUUAUUUUAUUUUUGUUUAUAGAAGAUUAAUAAUAGUUCUCUAUGGUGGAAUAUCUAAAGUGCCAUGGGUUUUGAAUGUCUUCUACAGAAAUUGAGUAGAAUUUGAUGCCUUUUAAUAGUGAGGCAUAAUUUAAAAGAUAAAUGAUGGAGUUGGGCCUUAACUUUUUGUAUUGGGCCGAAAUUUUGUUUAUUAUAUGGAGAAGCCCAAUUGAUAGGCAAUGCCGUAAUAGGUUAGCUGAUAAAAAUGCUUUAGAAAUUUUAUGAAUGAUUAAUUAAUCUAAUUCUUUUCUUUUCUUCUUUGACAAUGAGAGCUCUUAAUCAGAUUCACUUCAUAGCUAAAUCAACAACAUUUUUAACCUCACAACUCUUGCAGUUAUUUAUUUACAUUGGAAAAGAACAAACUUAAUUAGCACAAUAAUUUUGUUCAUACAAACUCCCACCAAAUCAUGGCUUUUCUGUAGUCAUCAGCAAAACAACUUUUAAAUUUCAAGAAAUGUAAAAUAAACCUCAAAGAAAUAAAAUAACAAAAGAAGACAACAACAACAUGGGUUCUCAAAAUAAAAUGACAAUAAGACUACUGGAAAAAGCUCAUCCAAGUACUCAACAGGGAUUUCAUGAAUUUUAAAUAUGAAGCCCAGAAAUUAAUUAAUAUAUUGCCAUAAUCUUGAAAUUUUAAACCAUAUAUAAAAAAAAAACACAAACUGAUUACACACAAUAUGAAACAAAGUUAAAACUAAUGCAGAAGUCACAAAUAUUACAAUCCUUGAACAAGGGACAAAUAGUUUUCACACAAAUCCAACUUACAACAAUUUUGAUUACAAACAAAAUUCAGCACUCAGGUUUCACAAUCCUUGAAUUCAUACGACAAUGUGGCAAUACAACAAUCGAAAUUAUGGGAUAACGCGACGUCUGACCCCUUCGAUCAGCUCUCUCAUUUGCCUGAAAAUCGGUAGAUGGAAUCUCAAACAUUGUGACUAUAAUAGGAACAUUAAAAUGUGAUAUUGCAAAGAUAUUAGGUAGACCUAUGCAAAUCCUUGUGAUAAUCUAAAUAAUUUAGAAUCGAUCAAACUGCUUGAUAAAAAUAAUGCAAACUCUCAACUUUGAGGGAACAGCCUGUGACUUAAA